This is a long non-coding RNA of Ictalurus furcatus (blue catfish), 4187 nucleotides long. RefSeq lists it as uncharacterized. The transcript is spliced from 3 exons. NCBI's taxonomy places the organism in Eukaryota, Metazoa, Chordata, Actinopteri, Siluriformes, Ictaluridae. The record is from RefSeq and is a predicted model, not a curated record.
UCCAAUGAGGAUCUGAAAAUAAAUGUGAUUGAUGCCUACAAAGCAGAGGUUGAUACAAAGACAUCAACGUGCUUUCAGUUUACAAUUGUGACUGUCCAGAAUGUUACUAAGAAAUGGCAGUUAAGAAGAUCUGUGAGCUCCCUGUAUGCUACAGAAAGGCAAAAUAAACCGCCCAAAUGACACUAAAGACAUGCAGGAAGGAUUAGCUGAGACAGCUGAGUGGUGCUGAACUGUUCUACUCCCUAGGGUUGCUUCCACAAACAUGAUCUGCAUGGAGGAAUCUGAACCUCACUCUUAGCAUAGAGUUUUCAGUGGCGCUAUAAAACACAUUCCACCAUCCACAAAGCUGCAUGAGCCAAAUCUUCAAAUAUGGCAUAAUCCUAGUCGAUCUUUAAAUCUUCCUUUUAUACAAUUUUAGUUUACAUUCUGAUGGUCAUCUGUCUGUACCCUGUGAGCACUGAAAUCAGUAAUUACUCUCUCAUUUAAGCUGAUUUGAUUGACAUUAAGUGGGAUAGAAGCUCCAAGUAAUCAGUUUACCUGUUAUUACAUAUUAUUAUACCACCAGGAAAAAGUAUACUCAUGGUCAGUAGUAACAAAUCUCAUUCAAUGCAUAGAAGCGUGCAUACGCUGUUUACACAUAACACUAUGUAUAUGCACAUUUUUUAUUAUUAUUAUUAUUAUUAUUGAGGUGUGGGAGAUUAGAACUCUCGGGAUGGUGAGCGCAUGCGUGCAUGGGAGGUGAGUGUUGCUUCUUGGGAAACUGAGUCCUGGCCGGGUUGAGAUAUGACAAUUAUAUGCAUCCACAUUUAUCUGGGGAUUACUAAAGUAUUAUCUUAUCUUAUCUUAUCUUAUCUUUAUAAAUGAGACCACAAAUAUUCACUAGUUUUGACUAAUAUAUAAUAACAUAUGGGCAUAAUAUAUAUAAUUUUAUACCAUGGUCUGUCUGAAUACUUGAUUCUGAAUAGCUGGAAAUUAUGUGUUCAAACUGUAGUGCACAGGUAGUUCCAGAUGGUUUAAUCACAGUUCUAAAUUAAUGCCCAUGCCUAUAAACACCUGUAACCAUAGUAACAUACAGUUACAAUUUCAUACAGUAGUUAAACUCACAGCUUCAUUAUUAUUAGAGACCCGGCACAGACUCAGGUAAUUCACACACGCGCAGUCUCUCUCUCUCUCUCUCUCUCUCCACGCACAGUCUCUCAGUCUCUCUCUCUCUCUCUCUCUCUCUCUCGCUCUCUCUCUCUCUCUCUAAUAACUAUUUAUUAUAAUUUCUUUAAAUAACUGUUAUCUUAUCACACUACUUUAUCUCUGUAUAUGAUUUAGAGCAGGCAAAAUUCUAGAUCUAACGACCCGUAUAUAAAAUAACUAAUGAAAAUUAACCAUUUGUUGUAUCCUUUCAGUCAGAUUUUGCACUGUAAACAUCAAUGACAGCUUAAACUUGUCAGUGCUGGCAAGUGACCAUGAAGACAUUCAUCUGAUCUGUCAUAUUUCCUCAAGUCAAACUCAUUCAGAGUCUCUUCUGAGUUCAGCAACACAAACACAAGAGGUGACCACUGAGCAGGAGAGAGACGGAUUCCAUUAAGACACCAGUCAUCUCUUCUGUUCAGUUUCCUGUUUGUUGUGAGAGCUGCUUCCUGUCUGGGGCAGUAGGUCUUGUAAGAGAGUCUGAUUGGACUCCAGGGAGAGACCCAGAAGGAAGUGGAGGAACAGGUCCAGGUGUCCCUUCUCACUUUUUAAGGCCUUGUUUACUGCACUCCUCAGGAAAUCAGACAUGUUUGACUUGGUGAAAAGAUCAGACAGAUCAGUGGUUUGUAUCCGACAACCCUUGUCGUCACAGCGCCUGGCGCACCCUGGGCAACGUUCAGUAUUAUACUGCUGAGCAGCCAAUCCUUCCACCACACUGGUUCCACCAGUAAUAUGCGACACCAAACGGCACUUGUCAGCGUCAGCCCUGACCAUCAUCUUUAUAUACAUAGAGGGUUUCUCAGAAGACAAAGCGCUACUCCUUUCGGAAAUGUGCCACAAGACGCAAUGUAAUAUUCCAUGUGUCCAAGAGACCCAUCGCGACUCUGGCCAAACUAGGCCGGAGAUACCCAGACUGACAUUAGUAGCGGAAAUUCCACAUCCAAAACAUGUGCGAUCUACACCAAACCGGACAUUACAGUUACAUCUUCUUAAUGUGCUCGUCGUGACACUAUAGAGCUUAUCACUGUGGACGUCGGUACCUGCACAAUCUCAUCCAUGUACAAACCACCUGCCCAACCUUUCAUACCCUGGGACAUCAGCGAUUCGGAUGACCAACCUAUUAGACUGAUUGUUGGAGACUUCAAUAGCCACAACACGACGUGGGGCUACCAAUCCACCAACUCAGACGGUGAAGCGGUUGAAGCAUGGGCGGAGGCCAACAGACUCACUCUCCUCCACAACCCGAAGCUACCUGCUUCCUUCAACAGUGGAUGGUGAUGCGGCUACAACCCUGACCUCAUCUUCAUCAGCGAGAAAAUCAGCCCUCAGUGCUCGAAGUCCGUCUGCAAACCCAUACCGAAAACACAGCACAGGCCCAUCAUGUGUCGGGUGCAAACUGUAGUACAACCCAUUAAGGUUCCAUUCUGGUGGAUCAACUUUGUUAAAGCAGACUGGACUUGAUUCGCAGAGGGUAUCGACGAGAAACUCUGUACUCUUUCAUCUGUGGCGUCGAACUACAACGAAUUCAUUAAAAUCGCCCGAACCGCGUCAUGUCAAACCAUACCGAGAGGCUGCCGCACAUACCACGUCCCUGGGCUUAACGCAGAGGCAUCAGGACUUCUUAAAACGUACGAGGCCUUGUACAAGAGUGACCCCUUCUCCGAGGAAACUGUACAGAUCGGCACCGAGCUGAUGCAAGAGUUGUCCACGAGCCGUAGGAAAAAAUGGGAAGACACGGUCACGAACAUCGACAUGACACACAACAGCAAAAAAGCCUGGUCCACCCUCCAUAGGCUAACAGGUGACCCCCCUGCAGCUACGAACCCUGGACAAGUCACCGCUAAUCAGGUCGCAAGCCAGUUGCUUCUCAGUGGUAAACCAUCACACCGACUACCUAGAGUUGCACUAGUAGUGGAAGCACAGGAAGACAGCAGCGAAAUAAGUAAACCGUUCACACUGUUUGAAGUUGUCACUUAAGUGAAACUUCUGAAAAAUGGAAAGGCAGCCAGUGUUGAUGAUCUUACUGUAGAGCAGAUCAAUAACCUUGAUCCAGUGGCAACAUCGUGGCUCAACGACUGCCUAACAAUGCUUAGAAUACCAAGAGCUUGGAGAAAAUCAAAGGUCGUUACAUUGCUGAAGCCAGGGAAAUGCCCCGCCGAUGCCCAAAGCUACCGACUCAAUAUCUCAAUAUCGUGCCCUGCGUGUCCACAUUCCUGCACGGCACGUGACCUCUGCGACAUGACGGAGAGGGCUAUCAAGACCGCAGCCUACUGGGUGAAACUAAUAUGAAGUGGAACCUCGACAUGGAAAGAAGAAGAAGAAGAAUUAAAAAAAAAAAAUUCUUUACCUCAUGUGGCGCUUUGGAGGGGGUAAACUUGGAGGCUCAGGCAAUAACAGCAAGCGUCUGAGAGCAGUGUUAUUAGUAAGAUUUACUUUUCCGGCCUUUUGCUGCACCUGUCCCAACUUUUUUGAGACCACCUUUUUUGUUGCGCCGAAUUACCUUCUUUUUUUUUCUUAUACAUUUACUCAGUUUAUGCAUGAAUAACAUGCAUUUAUGAGAUUUACAAAUCAUUGCAAUCUGUUUUUAUUUACAUUUAUUUACAUUUUACACAGCAUCCCAGCUUUUUUGGAAUUGGGGUUGUAUUUAAAGAAAGUCCAUGUAUUUAGAUGCUUUCCCAGUGCUGUAAAAUCUGUAUGUUAAUGUAUCUUUACAAUUGUAGUUUUUGUGUCCCUGACAUGUAAGAUGUAAGAUGUAUGUGUUAAUUAUGUUCAAUUUACAUAUUGUUUUUGUUUUUCCUGCCAUUGUAAGUAAUUACUUUGCAAUACUUAUGUAACUGUUUUUAAUUUUUAAGUAUUAAUAAAAAAAAGCGUCACACACACACAGAGCUAUAUUUAUUUAUUUAUUUUAAGUUAUACUGUGUAGGUCAGUUGGCUGACUUAAACUUGAAAACAAACUUGAAUAAAAACAAGUUUUUCAUUUUCAUGUAUUAAUAAAAAAAGAGUCU